UCUCCGUAGGUGAACCUGCGGAGGGAUCAUUAAAGAGUUCUCGACCUCGCGGGUACAUCUCCCACCCACUGUUAUCGUUACUGCGUUGCUUUGCGGGGCCCCCCGCGGCCGCGCCGCCAAACGCCCCGCCUGGGGCCCCCCCCCCACAUGGCUAACAAACUCUGUCUGUUAUUGUCGUCUGUGAACUAAAUAAUAGAUAAAACUCUCAACUACGGUUGUCUUGGUUGUGGCAUCGAUGAAAAACGAAGCAGACAGGAAGAGCCUGCGUCUGACCUACAG
RNAcentral lists this unclassified non-coding RNA (279 nucleotides) under plant metagenome. RNAcentral describes it as "partial contains small subunit ribosomal RNA, internal transcribed spacer 1, and 5.8S ribosomal RNA". The record is from RNAcentral.